This 465-nucleotide ribosomal RNA is filed under the name uncultured bacterium. RNAcentral's name for it is "partial 16S ribosomal RNA". It matches the Rfam family "Bacterial small subunit ribosomal RNA", at positions 339 to 795 of the family's 1533-position model. The record is from RNAcentral.
CGGGGGGCUGCACCAGUGGGGAAUAUUGGACAAUGGGGGAAACCCUGAUCCAGCAAUGCCGCGUGUGUGAAGAAGGCCUGCGGGUUGUAAAGCACUUUCGGUUGGGAGGACUGCUUCUAGCACUAAUAUUGUUGGAAGUUGACGUUACCUUCAGAAGAAGCACUGGCUAACUCCGUGCCAGCAGCCGCGGUAAUACGGAGGGUGCAAGCGUGAAUCGGAAUUACUGGGCGUAAAGCGCGCGUAGGCGGCUAGAUCAGUCGGGUGUGAAAGCCCCGGGCUUAACCUGGGAACUGCAUCCGAUACUGUCUAGCUUGAGUACAGGAGAGGAGAGUGGAAUUCCACAUGUAGCGGUGAAAUGCGUAGAUAUGUGGAGGAACACCAAUGGCGAAGGCAGCUCUCUGGCCUGAUACUGACGCUGAGGUGCGAAAGCGUGGGGAGCAAACAGGAUUAGAUACCCCUGUAGUC